Molecule: long non-coding RNA, 2787 nt
Organism: Peromyscus eremicus (cactus mouse)
Lineage: Eukaryota; Metazoa; Chordata; Mammalia; Rodentia; Cricetidae
Exons: 4
Source: RefSeq, a predicted model, not a curated record
GGUGGGGGGCAGCGCCCCCUGCACGGGGACCCCCCAGGGACUGCUCUCCGGCCUCUGCUGCAGGGACCCUUACUUGUCUUGGGGGAGGGUGUCUUCAGCACCCCCAACCUCGCCUGGGGACAUUAUAUAAUCCCCACUGAGGGGGAGCUCUCGCGAGAAUUUGGAGGAUUUGCCAUUGACCCACUAGGAGGCGCCGUGGAUAAUGGCCGCAGUGCGCUCCUGGGUGCCUUCCUCUGGCCGCAGCGCCGCCUGCGGAGGCAGAAGCAGCGGGCCGCAGCACGCUCCGACAAUCAGUCAGGUGGCUGUGCUGGGGAUCCCUGCGCGGGCCCAUCUGGGCCUGGACUACAUCUGGAGGGAGGGUGUGCGGGCAGCCCUGAAGCUCCACGUGCUCAGAGAGCGUGCUCUCACAGGCUGAGAGGCAAGGCGAAGGGUUGAGGCUGAUACUUCCAGCCUUAAAUGAGGUGUGAUGCCCUCGUGCUUCACACAUUCUCUUGAGAUGACAUAGCUCUGGGGCCAUGUCGGCUCUUCCAGUGGAUUGGUGUGGGAUAGCAGAUGGACAAGGGCUCAGCUUUACUUAAGAUAUUCUUCCAAGUCAUCAAAUGGCCACUUCUCCUUGACUUAAAAAAAAAAAAAAGAAAAAGUGGGGUUUGUAGAGUUGAGGCCAUCGGACUGGCGAUGCCUAAGGAUGUUCUGGCACUAACCCUCUGUAGUCAAUGCUCCCACAAUUUGGACACAUGACUAUAUGUGGACUGUUGGCUUUGUCACUUUGGAUCAACCCCAACCAACACACCAUGUCAACAUCAACACCCUUGGGUCCACUUUAAAUGAAGUAGUUCCCCUAGAGUAUAUGAAAGACUAAACGCUUUGAAAAGUAGCAAAUGAAGCUGUGAAGGAUUGGCCACACCCACUUUUUUUUCUAUAGGUGGUUUCUAUACUUGUUUAAGUUACAAGUUUGAAAGACUCUGACAAACUAUAUACAGCUCAGUGUUUAAGAGUUUGGUUAGGAAGUUGAACAAACCUUUAUCCUACACUAUUGUUUUCUGGAGGUAUUACAAUAUAUAUAUUUAAAAGCGUAAUCAAUGCCUCAAUGGAAAACAAAGGAUAGAAGUUGUUUAAAAGGGGUGUGGCAAGGCCUUUCAUCAAAGGACUAGAGAUAUGGACCUACACAAUGUAGAAGAUAGGCAACGGGAAUAUGAAAUAGGCAAAGUAAAUUCAUCUCUAGUUUUCCUUAGACACUCACUACAGCAAUAACAUUGAAUGAAGGGAAUCUGGAUUUCAUCACUGCCUUCACUUUGAAGCACAAAAGAUGCUGGAUUCAGAUUGAGGGGUUAAAAAAAAAAAGACGUGCAUGCUCAUGUCACCAGAAUUAGUACAAAAAUGCAGCAUAAAAAUGAGGCAACACUCUCCUCUAAAUGGCUUCUGGAUGGUGGUGUUCACUGCUCAAACAUGCCCAGAGAAACUCCAGCAGUGACAGAAUGAUUGUGACGCUAAGAACUGCGAAUAUGAAGAAGACCAAAGUUCUCUGCUCCAGUGAGGUGUGAGGUAGCAAUGCUGUCUCUACAGUGACUUCUGAGCUGGCUACUUAACUUCUGCUCCAUGUACUUGACACUGACAACUUAAUGCUGCGUUUCAACAGAACAGAAGAUUAAGUCUCUUAAAUGUUUUAAAUGACUACCCCAAGACGCCAUGACUGAGGUGAAUUGAAUCUGCAAUUGGAUGAGGCAUUCGGUGACAGAAGACAUUAGUGCAGGAUCUCUCAAGCAAACUCAGACCUCACUGAUCUGGCUAGUCUCACUCCUCCUUCUGCGGCUGAAUUACAGGCUACACUAUACGGAACCCCACUUCCCAGGUUCUUGUCACUUGUGUUCCAGACAGUUGUGGGAAGCACAAGUGAAGAUUGCCAGGGGAAGCCAGGGACAUCUAAGUAACCCCGUCUGCAUGGCAUCUAGCAGCAUCAACUGACCAUCUUCCACAGUUCCACUUUCAGCAACCUUCGCCCCUCCCCUACAUUCUGCUUCCUCUACCCAGAGCAGGUUUCUGGGCCCUACCAUACUCCAACUUCCCGCCUCCCCACCCCACUCCAGCUCCUCAGCAGUCAGUCGCUCCUCUCCUAGUAGCUCAGCUUUGUAUCAGGCUUUUGAACAAUUGUUCUCCUUGUUAACUAGAAUCCCUGUAUUAAGUAUCCUAUUUAGACAGAAGGAGUAGUUUAUGUUUCGCUGAGUGGGUCCUGACUGAUCCGUCAGGAUGUCACAAAGAUCACAAAGGCCACCACAGCUGACUGUACUUGGCCCUUUUCCAAACUGGGAACAUGGAGGCAAAUGUGACUAGGUCACGUAACAGGAAGGGCGGAGCCCCAACUUACCAAGGCCCAGCUUUUUCUCCCGUGGUCUCAGGAGCUGCAAGAAGAAGAAACAACAUGUCAACACAAAAAGACAAAAAUAUUUUAAAUUUCAUUUUAUUCCCAAAAAUGCAUACUCAAGACUAUACUUCCAGGGAUCUUAACUUUGUUACUAUAAAUGCAAUCUCACUGAGAAAGAUUAUUGAAUUUAUUAGACCUUGAAGUGGAGUAUGCUCAACAUUUUUGUCCAAAGCCAAAAAGGUAUUUGGGGGCUGGAGAUGUAGCCUAACAUGCAUGAAGAGCCGGCUCCCUCCUCAGCACUAUACACUGUGGUGUAACACCGGCAGUACCAGUGUCUGAGAGGCAGGGCCAAGCAUCAGGAGCUCCAGCUCAGCUGGUCUGAGUCAACCCAGACGUCAGGACACCUACUUCUAACAACAAAGCAAAGA